AUUGAACGCUGGCGGCAGGCCUAACACAUGCAAGUCGAGCGGAUGAAGGGAGCUUGCUCCUGGAUUCAGCGGCGGACGGGUGAGUAAUGCCUAGGAAUCUGCCUGGUAGUGGGGGAUAACGUCCGGAAACGGGCGCUAAUACCGCAUACGUCCUGAGGGAGAAAGUGGGGGAUCUUCGGACCUCACGCUAUCAGAUGAGCCUAGGUCGGAUUAGCUAGUUGGUGGGGUAAAGGCCUACCAAGGCGACGAUCCGUAACUGGUCUGAGAGGAUGAUCAGUCACACUGGAACUGGGACACGGUCCAGACUCCUACGGGAGGCAGCAGUGGGGAAUAUUGGACAAUGGGCGAAAGCCUGAUCCAGCCAUGCCGCGUGUGUGAAGAAGGUCUUCGGAUCGUAAAGCACUUUAAGUUGGGAGGAAGGGCAGUAAGUUAAUACCUUGCUGUUUUGACGUUACCAACAGAAUAAGCACCGGCUAACUUCGUG
Molecule: ribosomal RNA, 484 nt
Filed under: uncultured bacterium
Lineage: Bacteria
Description: partial 16S ribosomal RNA
Rfam family: Bacterial small subunit ribosomal RNA
Source: RNAcentral